Molecule: long non-coding RNA, 280 nt
Filed under: Brachypodium distachyon (stiff brome)
Lineage: Eukaryota; Viridiplantae; Streptophyta; Magnoliopsida; Poales; Poaceae
Description: long non-coding RNA (BDIS_LNC000434)
Source: RNAcentral
CGCAUGAUUCGAUUACAGGGAAGAAGCGGAACACGGACACGCAUGCAGCUGCUGAAAACAACAGAAACGACCAUAUUGCAGCGGCAAACUCUUCGAAAGGUGGUAAAGGCGCUUAUUCUCUCCCCCGGCACUGGCCGCCGUUGCUUCAGCUCACUACUCAGCUUGCAGAUUGUAACUUAGGCGUUGCUCCUGAAGGAGCCCAGGGCCUUGAUGGCGCCGGCCCUGAGGAUGUACUGGUGGUAGAAGGCCGCGAUCGCCGCGCCGACCAUUGGGCCGACCC